RNAcentral lists this ribosomal RNA (1530 nucleotides) under metagenome. RNAcentral's name for it is "bacterial SSU rRNA". It matches the Rfam family "Bacterial small subunit ribosomal RNA". The record is from RNAcentral.
AGAGUUUGAUUCUGGCUCAGAACGAACGCUGGCAGCGUGGAUUAGGCAUGCAAGUCGAACGGGAAGCUUCGGAUUCAAGUUUUCGGACGAGAAUCUGAAGUGGAGAGUGGCGAAAGGGUGAGUAACGCGUGGGCAAUCUGCCUCUAAGUUGGGGAUAACCCUCCGAAAGGAGAGCUAAUACCGAAUGCGGUCCUCUGUCGCAUGGCAGAGUGAUUAAAGACGGGGAUCUUCGGACCUGUCGCUUGGAGAUGAGCCCGCGUGCCAUCAGCUUGUUGGUAGGGUAACGGCCUACCAAGGCUUACGGCUAGCUGGUCUGAGAGUAUGAUCAGCCACACUGGGACUGAGACACUGCCCAGACUCCUACGGGAGGCUGCAGUCGAGGAUCAUUCGCAAUGCGCGAAAGCGUGACGAUGCGACGCUGCGUGGAGGAUGAAGGCCUUAGGGUUGUAAACUCCUGUCAUGAGGGAAGAACUGGCGAUAGGUUAAUAGCCUGUCGCCUUGACGGUACCUCAAGAGGAAGCCACGGCUAACUCUGUGCCAGCAGCCGCGGUAAUACAGAGGUGGCAAGCGUUGUUCGGAUUUACUGGGCGUAAAGCGUACGUAGGUGGUCAGGUGUGUCGGAUGUGAAAUCCCACGGCCCAACCGUGGAACUGCAUUCGAAACUGCCUGACUAGAGUGCAGGAGGGGAGAGCGGAAUUCUUGGUGUAGCGGUGAAAUGCGUUGAUAUCAAGAAGAACACCGGUGGCGAAGGCGGCUCUCUGGAAUGCUACUGACACUGAGGUACGAAAGCUGGGGGAGCAAACAGGAUUAGAUACCCUGGUAGUCCCAGCCGUAAACGGUGUGAACUUGGUGUAGGGGGUAUUGACCCCCCCUGUGCCGGAGCUAACGCGUUAAGUUCACCGCCUGGGGAGUACGGCCGCAAGGCUAAAACUCAAAGAAAUUGACGGGGGCCCGCACAAGCGGAGGAGCAUGUGGCUUAAUUCGAUGCAACGCGAAGAACCUUACCAGGGCUUGACAUGGCGACCCUUCGGGGGUGGGAAUGAAAGUUCCCUUUACGAUCACAGGUGCUGCAUGGCUGUCGUCAGUUCGUGCCGUGAGGUGUUUGGUUAAGUCCAGCAACGAACGCAACCCCUGUGUUUAGUUGCCACUUCGACUUCGGUCGGAAGCACUCUAAACAGACUGCCCGUACAAGCGGGAGGAAGGUGGGGACGACGUCAAGUCAGUAUGGCCCUUACGCCCUGGGCUGCACACGUGCUACAAUGGCCAGUACAGAAGGAUGCAAUGCCGCAAGGUGGAGCUAAUCCCCAAAGCUGGCCUCAGUUCGGAUUGGAGUCUGCAACUCGACUCCAUGAAGUUGGAUUCGCUAGUAACGGCGUAUCAGCUACGACGCCGUGAAUACGUUCCCGGGCCUUGUACACACCGCCCGUCACAUCAUGAAAGCCGUCUGCACCCGAAGUCGCUGAGCCAACCCGCAAGGGGGGCAGGCGCCGAAGGUGUGGGUGGUGAUUGGGAUGAAGUCGAAACAAGGUA